AAUGUUCCGCAAUGUACGAAAGUCUGACGGAGCAACACGGCUUGCGGGACGAAGGUGGUCGGAUCGUAAAACUCGGCCGUUAGGGCCGACAAAAUAUCGGAGUCACUGCGGGUAGCUUGACGGUACCUGAAGAGAAAGCCAUGGUUCACUACGUGCAGGACGCCGCGGUAAUACGUAGGUGGCAAGCGUUGUCCGGAUUUAUUGGGCGUAAAGCGCGCGCAGGCGGUCUUUUAAGUCUGAUGUGAAAUCUUACAGCUUAACUGUAAGCGGUCAUUGGAAACUGGGAGACUUGAGUGCAGAAGAGGAGAGUGGAAUUCCCUGUGUAGCGGUGAAAUGCGUAGAGAUAUGGAGGCACACCCGUGGCCAAGGCGACUCUCUGGUCUGUAACUGACGCUGAGGCGAGGAAGCGUGGGUAGCGAACA
Molecule: ribosomal RNA, 422 nt
Filed under: uncultured bacterium
Lineage: Bacteria
Description: partial 16S ribosomal RNA
Rfam family: Bacterial small subunit ribosomal RNA
Source: RNAcentral